Molecule: ribosomal RNA, 373 nt
Filed under: uncultured bacterium
Lineage: Bacteria
Description: bacterial SSU rRNA
Rfam family: Bacterial small subunit ribosomal RNA
Source: RNAcentral
AACGAACGCUGGCGGCAGGCCUAACACAUGCAAGUCGAACGCCCCGCAAGGGGAGUGGCAGACGGGUGAGUAACACGUGGGAACGUACCCUUCGGUUCGGGAUAACUCAGGGAAACUUGAGCUAAUACCGGAUACGUCCGAGAGGAGAAAGAUUUAUCGCCGAGGGAUCGGCCCGCGUCUGAUUAGCCUUGUUGGUGAGGUAACGGCUCACCAAAGGCGACGAUCAGUAGCUGGUCUGAGAGGAUGAUCAGCCACAUUGGGACUGAGACACGGCCCAAACUCCUACGGGAGGCAGCAGUGGGGAAUAUUGGACAAUGGGCGCAAGCCUGAUCCAGCCAUGCCGCGUGAGUGAUGAAGGCCCUAGGGUUGUAAA